RNAcentral lists this ribosomal RNA (497 nucleotides) under uncultured bacterium. RNAcentral describes it as "partial 16S ribosomal RNA". It matches the Rfam family "Bacterial small subunit ribosomal RNA", at positions 28 to 507 of the family's 1533-position model. The record is from RNAcentral.
GAUGAACGCUGGCGGCGUGCCUAAUACAUGCAAGUCGAGCGAACAGAUGAGGAGCUUGCUCCUCUGACGUUAGCGGCGGACGGGUGAGUAGCACGUGGAUAACCUACCUAUAAGACUGGGAUAACUUCGGGAAACCGGAGCUAAUACCGGAUAAUAUAUUGAACCGCAUGGUUCAAUAGUGAAAGACGGUUUUGCUGUCACUUAUAGAUGGAUCCGCGCCGCAUUAGCUAGUUGGUAAGGUAACGGCUUACCAAGGCGACGAUGCGUAGCCGACCUGAGAGGGUGAUCGGCCACACUGGAACUGAGACACGGUCCAGACUCCUACGGGAGGCAGCAGUAGGGAAUCUUCCGCAAUGGGCGAAAGCCUGACGGAGCAACGCCGCGUGAGUGAUGAAGGUCUUCGGAUCGUAAAACUCUGUUAUUAGGGAAGAACAAAUGUGUAAGUAACUAUGCACGUCUUGACGGUACCUAAUCAGAAAGCCACGGCUAACUACGUG